RNAcentral lists this ribosomal RNA (495 nucleotides) under uncultured bacterium. Its description in RNAcentral is "partial 16S ribosomal RNA". It matches the Rfam family "Bacterial small subunit ribosomal RNA", at positions 28 to 505 of the family's 1533-position model. The record is from RNAcentral.
GAUGAACGCUGGUGGCGUGCCUAAUACAUGCAAGUCGAGCGAACAGAUAAGGAGCUUGCUCCUUUGACGUUAGCGGCGGACGGGUGAGUAACACGUGGGUAACCUACCUAUAAGACUGGGAUAACUUCGGGAAACCGGAGCUAAUACCGGAUAACAUUUGGAACCGCAUGGUUCUAAAGUGAAAGAUGGUUUUGCUAUCACUUAUAGAUGGACCCGCGCCGUAUUAGCUAGUUGGUAAGGUAACGGCUUACCAAGGCGACGAUACGUAGCCGACCUGAGAGGGGUAGCGGCAAAAAGGGAAAGAGCACAGGGGCAAGACCCCAAGGGGGGGAAGAAGGAGGGAAUUCUCCGAAAGGGGGAAAGGCCUGAGGGAGAAACGCGGGGUGGGUAAAGAAGGUUUUGGGCCGGAAAAACUCUUUUAUGAGGGAAAAAAAAAUGUGUAAGUAACUGUGCACGUGUUGACGGAACCAAAACAAAAAGCCACGGCAAAAAACG